Molecule: transfer RNA, 82 nt
Filed under: Toxocara canis (dog roundworm)
Lineage: Eukaryota; Metazoa; Nematoda; Chromadorea; Rhabditida; Toxocaridae
Rfam family: tRNA
About the family: Transfer RNA (tRNA) molecules are approximately 80 nucleotides in length.
Source: Rfam by way of RNAcentral
GGCGAGAUGGCCGAGCGGUCUCAGGCGCUGGUUUAAGGCGCCAGUCUCUUCGGAGGCGUGGGUUCGAAUCCCACUCUCGUCA